GACGAACGCUGGCGGCGUGCUUAACACAUGCAAGUCGAACGAGGUCCACCGCGUAGCAAUACAAGGGAAGACCUAGUGGCGAACGGGUGCGUAACACGUGAGGAACUUGUCCCGGUCUCUGGGAUAACAGUUGGAAACGACUGCUAAUACCGGAUGACGUCGGAAUCUCGCAUGGGAUACUGACGAAAGGGUUACUGGAUCGGGAGAGCCUCGCGGCCUAUCAGCUUGUUGGUGAGGUAACGGCUCACCAAGGCAUCGACGGGUAGCUGGUCUGAGAGGAUGAUCAGCCACACUGGGACUGAGACACGGCCCAGACUCCUACGGGAGGCAGCAGUGGGGAAUCUUGCGCAAUGGGCGAAAGCCUGACGCAGCAACGCCGCGUGCGGGAAGAAGGCCCUCGGGUUGUAAACCGCUUUCAGCAGGAACGAAAUGACGGUACUUGCAGAAGAAGGUGCGGCCAACUACGUG
This 468-nucleotide ribosomal RNA is filed under the name uncultured bacterium. RNAcentral's name for it is "bacterial SSU rRNA". It matches the Rfam family "Bacterial small subunit ribosomal RNA", at positions 28 to 507 of the family's 1533-position model. The record is from RNAcentral.